Molecule: long non-coding RNA, 259 nt
Filed under: Malus domestica (apple)
Lineage: Eukaryota; Viridiplantae; Streptophyta; Magnoliopsida; Rosales; Rosaceae
Description: long non-coding RNA (MDOM_LNC017537)
Source: RNAcentral
ACAACCAGGAAUUCUUUGUAUGAACGUGUGUUGUGAAUAUCUCGUUUACGAAUGGAAAAAAUAGAACAAACUCGAAAUCAAAAACAAAAUAAUCAAAUCAAAAACAAAAUAAUCAAAUAAAUAACACCAAAAAUUUACAUGGGGCAGCAACAACUAACUUUCACUGUGUCAAUAAUGAGUACAACUAAUAACCUUGCCAAGCCUCUAGGAUUAAGACUUGACAAAAGAACAAGAACAAGAACAAGAAAUACUCUUUAUC